UUGAACGCUGGCGGCAUGCUUUACAUAUGCAAGUCGAACGGCAGCGCGGGCUUCGGCCUGGCGGCGAGUGGCGAACGGGUGAGUAAUACAUCGGAACGUGCCCAGUAGUGGGGGAUAGCUCGGCGAAAGCCGGAUUAAUACCGCAUACGACCAGAGGGUGAAAGCGGGGGAUCUUCGGACCUCGCGCUAUUGGAGCGGCCGAUGGCAGAUUAGCUAGUUGGUGGGGUAAAGGCCUACCAAGGCGACGAUCUGUAGCUGGUCUGAGAGGACGACCAGCCACACUGGGACUGAGACACGGCCCAGACUCCUACGGGAGGCAGCAGUGGGGAAUUUUGGACAAAGGGCGAAAGCCUGAUCCAGCAAUGCCGCGUGUGUGAUGAAGGCCUUCGGGUUGUAAAGCACUUUUGGCGGGAACGAAAAGGACUGUGCCAAUACCACGGUUCGAUGACGGUACCCGCAGAAUAAGCACCGGCUAACUACGUG
Molecule: ribosomal RNA, 483 nt
Filed under: uncultured bacterium
Lineage: Bacteria
Description: partial 16S ribosomal RNA
Rfam family: Bacterial small subunit ribosomal RNA
Source: RNAcentral